ACACAUGCAAGUCGAACGAGAGAUGAGGAGCUUGCUCUUCAAAUCGAGUGGCGAACGGGUGAGUAACGCGUGAGGAACCUGCCUCAAAGAGGGGGACAACAGUUGGAAACGACUGCUAAUACCGCAUAAGCCCACGGCUCGGCAUCGAGCAGAGGGAAAAGGAGCAAUCCGCUUUGAGAUGGCCUCGCGUCCGAUUAGCUAGUUGGUGAGGUAAUGGCCCACCAAGGCGACGAUCGGUAGCCGGACUGAGAGGUUGAACGGCCACAUUGGGACUGAGACACGGCCCAGACUCCUACGGGAGGCAGCAGUGGGGAAUAUUGCACAAUGGGGGAAACCCUGAUGCAGCGACGCCGCGUGGAGGAAGAAGGUCUUCGGAUUGUAAACUCCUGUUGUUGAGGAAGAUAAUGACGGUACUCAACAAGGAAGUGACGGCUAACUACGUGCCAGCAGCCGCGGUAAAACGUAGGUCACAAGCGUUGUCCGGAAUUACUGGGUGUAAAGGGAGCGCAGGCGGGAGAACAAGUUGGAAGUGAAAUCCAUGGGCUCAACCCAUGAACUGCUUUCAAAACUGUUUUUCUUGAGUAGUGCAGAGGUAGGCGGAAUUCCCGGUGUAGCGGUGGAAUGCGUAGAUAUCGGGAGGAACACCAGUGGCGAAGGCGGCCUACUGGGCACCAACUGACGCUGAGGCUCGAAAGUGUGGGUAGCAAACAGGAUUAGAUACCCUGGUAGUCCACACCGUAAACGAUGAUUACUAGGUGUUGGGGG
RNAcentral lists this ribosomal RNA (765 nucleotides) under uncultured bacterium. RNAcentral describes it as "bacterial SSU rRNA". It matches the Rfam family "Bacterial small subunit ribosomal RNA", at positions 51 to 829 of the family's 1533-position model. The record is from RNAcentral.